Molecule: long non-coding RNA, 5717 nt
Filed under: Homo sapiens (human)
Lineage: Eukaryota; Metazoa; Chordata; Mammalia; Primates; Hominidae
Description: HSALNT0327035
Source: RNAcentral
UGUUGCAGCAAUAUGGCAGGAAGUAAAGUAUUUUUUCCACAGGAAUUCAGCUUUAGUUGAUUUCUCUAAGGUUUCCAUUGCAUACAUUGAAUACAUUACAAUCUAAAUAUAAAUAAGAAAUCUGUUGAAAGGCAAUGGCAAAAGAUACUGCUGAGAGAUAGUUUAGCACUGCCUUCAUAGGAUUAUCUUGCCUUAAAAUUUCCUUUCUGUGGUGGAGUGGUACAGGACUGGGGGAAAUGCAAAUAUAAAGGCAAAUCAUUAAAAGAAAUAUUCUUGUUUUCAUUCCUUUUACUUUUUCUUUAAGACCAAACAUGAAACAAGGGUUCUCAAUGCUUGCUUUCUAAGAGAAGGGUGACAGUGUUCACCAAGAACUUAACCACAGCCUCACAGCCUCCAGCACAGAUCAUGGAGUCUUCAAAAAGCUUUGGCCAGUAACCCCGAAGCUCCUGGCAUGCAAAAAAGGCAGGCAAGUGGGAAAGAAGAGAGAAAUAGUAUGAGGUGCCCCUAGGAUAUGCUUCCAUAUUGUCCAAGUAAACAUUGUGGGAAAGACAUUUUGACUACUACACAAAUCACUAGAAACUCAUUCAGACAAAAUCUAGAACAGGGUUGGCAAUUUAAAACCAACUGUGUCACCAAUUUGCUACCUUAGACACGGUACCAACAUUGCUCAUCAGCCUAAGCCCAUUCCUUCUACUUCCUCUCAACAGAACAUUCCAGAAGCUGCCCCCAGUCAAUUAGGGUCAGCAGGUGAGAUGUCACUACUCUGCCACUCUAGACCCUAAAGAGUUACUCAAUUAUCUAUAGUAAUCUAUAUUUUAAGGAAUUUAGGAGGACUUGCAGAGCUCUGGUAUGCUUCCCAAUUACUUACCAAGAAAUGCCCUGCCACCUAUUUUGAAGACACUGGACAACUGAAAACACGUUCACAAAACUUUGGGAAGCAAUUUCUAUGAAAUAUUUUCGGCUUAUGGAAUUUAGUUUAUCACUGCCAUAAUUUGACUAUAAUUGAUGCAUUAUAAGGACAUGAUAUUAAGACCUUCUUACAUGGGGAAGGCCUAGAAAAAGUGGAAAAAGAGUUUGAACCCUUUAGAGAAAGCUGCUGGAAACUCUCCACAGAAGUUUCCAGACCCAGAGUGAGUGCCUCGUUGCAAUGAGGAUGCUCAGAAUUACCUCAUUUCAGGACUUACUAGCCACUCCCAGAAAAGGUCCACUGCUAGAUCCUUGGAGAAAGAAUGUAUUUUUAACUUUCAUUUUUCCAUUUAUAUACAAAACAGAUAUUCAAUGUCAAAAACUGUAAAGGAGAGAGAGAAAAGUUAUAAAGAAGAAAGUAAAAAUCAUUUGUCACUAUCUUUGAAAAACUCUAUUAAUAGUAUUUAGGCAGAUAUUUUAAGUACAAAUUGAUAAUCAAAAUAUAUAACUGUGUUAUACCUGCUAGAAAGGCCAUUCUUAUAGGAGUUCCCUGCCUUCAAGCACAAUUUUGUCUGUUGACUAAAGUGUUUUAAGGUUAAGAAGUUCCUUUCUCACCAAACUGAAUCCCUCAAGCUCAAAAACCAUAAAAGAACAAACUGGUACAUGGCUUUUAAAGCUCAGGUUUGUGUUCUUUGAAUUUUCCAUUAGAAAAAAAGAUAUGUUUUUAUUUGGAACAGGAUCCAGAAACUUAAAUCAGAACUAACAAAAUGUCCCAAUUGGUCAGUUCCAUUUACUUUAGCAGUUUCAGGGUUUUUAAGAUUUGGUUUCUUUUAACAAAUCCAUUUGAUUCUCUUCUCCCCAUUCCCUCAUCCAUCCCUUUUUAAAGGAUUAACUGUGUUUCAGUAUUUCUCUAAUGCAAAAUUAUAUCAUUACCUGCAGUCAAGUGACAGCAGCCUGAUGUUUAAAUCACAUGGUUGUUAUAACAAUGGGCAUUGAAACACAGGAGAAUGAAUAAAGUCCUCAUUGGACUAUAAUUUCCAGUGUUUUUGGCACUCUUGGUCCACCUGAAGAAAGGAUGAGACUUUAGGAAGUGUGUUUGUUUACAUUCAGCAACUGUUCUAACUCUCUAGUGGAGGAACACUUGGACAAGGAAGGUCUCUGUUCCCUUUCUAAUGUUGGACAUUUCUGUGUCCUUCCCUGCACAUGCUGAGAAACAAGAACUGCCCACUCACUCAGUUUUUUGGAUCCCUGUGUUUUGUGAGAAGGGGCAAUGUUCUCCUUACCAGUCUAGGGUCAGAAACCACUCAAUGACAGUGAAAGAGAACCUACAGGAGAUUUACUUUCAGGAAACCAAAUCUGCCAGUGAGAUAGUUAAACUUGUCCUGAUGGAGUGAAAAAGCAGAUACAGCCAGGAGGUAUGUCCGAUGUGAACAGGUGCAAGACUCUCACAAGAUGCUGGUUCUCCUCUUGCUAAAGACCAAUGACAACAGAGUGAAGAGGGGACCAUUCUGGUGAUGUUUCCAUGACAGCACAUGAAACCCCGAAACCCCAAAUCUUGUGAGAAGAGCUGCCAAACCUUUGAAAACACCACAACCACAGGGACUCCUAAAGCUUUUAGUAGAGUAUCCCCCUUUACCCCCCAGAAGAAAAGUAUUCAAUUGACCCAUCUAGUUAAAUGAACUAUUCACCUUCUGCUCUUGUGGUCUAUAAUUGUCAUCCCAUUGCUUAGGAAUCAAGGAUGCAUCCAUGCAGGGACCCAGCUAAAAGCAAGGAGAAGGAAAAUUAAUUUGUAUCUAGCUUAUCUUUUUUGAGUAAGCCAUGAAACAACUGCAUACUUUAUGUCUUGGAUCAACAAGGGAGCCAUGCCAAAUGUCAGAUUAAAUAUUCCACAGCUGAAGUGUUUGCAUAGCUUUUCAGUGGCUACCAUUUAAAGAAAGAAAAACAAUGAUGGGACUUAAAAAAAAAAUACUCCCUUAGCUUCACAUGCUCACAGUGUACUGCCAGCAAUUGCUCUCAACUUGGAAGGCCAGGCCAUGCGUAUCUUGUCCGUGGAGUGUCGGUGCCAGCUGGCAAGCAGAACCCUGUGCUUCCAUUCCCUCCAGGAGCAUGAAGCCCCACUGUGCAUCUUGAAGGCCACAGCCGCACUGCUGUAUUGUUUAACCCAUAACUGCUCUGGCUAAGGAGCAAGUCAUAUAAAGAAGGAAUUUCCUGGUUCUUGAAGUGUCUAUCAUGUUUCACCAAUGAGUUUGCAUUCGCCGCAUGUGUUUUCAGUUUGGGUUGGCUCUGUGGGGAUGCCGAGGAAACUGGAGACAGAUCUUUAUUGAAACAGAAUAAUAAGUCUGAACAAAUCAGCUUUAUUGUCAUUGGCUCUGGUGUGGUUUGGAUUAAUUUCAGCUUUAUAUUUCUAAAGGAUUGCUUAAGAGGUGAUGCUCUCCAAUUCCAGGUUAUGUAAAGGAAGGGAGAGAACUGACAUACCUUAAGUAACUACUAAGUGUCAGGAGCUUGCCUGCAUUAUCUCAAUUACUUUUCCUAACAAUCCAAUAAAGUCGUUGUUCCUCCAUUCAUCUUACUGAUGAGAAAACGGAGGUGCUGAGAGGGUCAUUCACUUGCCUGAUGUAGCACAGUUAGGAAUACAGCUGUGGAGUACAAUUGGUUUGUUUCAUCUUAGAUCUGCUGAUCAUUUUCUGUGACCUUGGGCAAGUCACUUCACCUCUCUGCUCUAACUUUCGCAUCUUCAAAACGUGAAUGAUAAUGAGAAUCCUUCACAGAGAGUUAAAGAAAGCAAUGUGUGUAAGGUGAUCAGUGCAGGUAACUGGUCAAUAAAUUCAGCCAUUGUUAUAUGACAGUGCGGAGACUGAAACCUAGUGCAGCUCCCUUCCAAGCUGGUGCUGAUUUCCCUCACCAGUCUAGAGAUCAGUGCCACCCUUCUCCAUGGGGAAGGUUUAGGUGGAACUGAUACUCGAGAGACUAAAAUUACAGGGUGAUUUAACAUCCUUGCUUUAAAAGUAUAUUCCCUAUUGGGGCAAACAAAGCCUGUAGUUCUGGCUCAGGCUUGUAUUUUGGAAAAAAAAAAAAAAAAAAAAAAAAGCUCUCUGAAAAGGAAGUAGGAGAAGAGAGAAGUGAUGUGAGAUGUGGAAGUUGCAGGGCUGUCAUCUCACUGUCCUGGCCAGUUGCUUGGAUUCAGGAUGAAAAAAGGAAAAGUUGCCUGGUAAUAUGUUUUCUCAUGACAGCUGAUGUCUAGUCUGUUCACUGCAGCAAAAGUGGAGCUUAACCGAUGAUUUUUAACAGGCAUCACCAUCAUAAUGCCUGGCAUCCUGGUGCUCAAACCCCACCUGAGUGCUUCCCACGUGCCAGGCUUUCGGCUGGCCUUGGGAUACAGAGAUGAGUAAGACAUGGUCCCAGUUCUUGCAGAGCUCCCAGAUGAGUGAUCAAAUGAGCCUUAGAGCACAGAGAUCUUGCUCACCAUAGAGAGAAACUAUUUAUAUUCUAGACCCUGUAGAAUCAUCCAGAAGGAAGCCUUGUACACAUCAUUAUCUAUCACAUAACCAGGAAUUUUUGAAGCUUUGUGAAGCAGCUUAGGUAACUUUUAAAACAAUCCUCAGUGAGAAAACAAAUUCCACAAGUAGGAGGGAGGCCGCCCAUAAUGCAACCAACUUGGUUAAUCACUUGGAAGUUCUUCCAGUCUUGCGAGGACUUCUUGGGCACUAGUUGUACCAAUAACUAACCCCAAGGAAUUGGACUCAGAAGAGCAAUACAAAUUGCAGCCUUGCCACUUACGAGCUGAGAGAUCUUAGCCAAAAUAACUCAAUCUGUCUGAGUUGUAUUUUUUAUCAGUCGACUGAAGAUGAAUAAUAUUCAGGCUACAAGUUUAUCAAAGAGUUAAUAGGAAUUUUCUGGAUUUGGAAAGAGGCGUCAGUUUCAACCUGACCUUUCAAUACAGCUUCUGCAGCUUGAACGCACAUGCACCACUUGGGCUGAUGUCUUCCAAGAAGGUGUGGACUCUGAGCAAUAGUCUGGCUAUGGGAAGAGAUGGAGUCCAUGUUGCCUCGCCUGGUCUUGGACUAUUGGCCUCAAGCGAUCAUCCUACCUCAGCCUCUCAAAGUGCUAGCAUUCAAGCUCACAAACAAGAGUUUUGAACCUAGGCAGGCUAAGCAGUGAUCUUGAGGACUGAAAGGGGAAACUGCUGUCAAUUAAUAGGACAUCAAACACCCAUACUCUACUGGAAAAAUGUGUCCACAGACAUUUGCUUGAGAGGAGGAGGUGGCUGGUGAAGAGCCCUAUGGUUGCUCUCCUGUGUCUUCACUCUUAGCAGCUACAACAUGCACAAGAUUCAGUGCAUUCAAUAAUUAGUUCUCAGCAUCCUGUGAACUGGCGAUCUAUUUCCAGAAUGAUUUAGUGCAGUUUCCUCUAAGUCCAUGCUAAAAGAGGAAAUAAUUAGGCUCAGAAGCAUUUAACUUAAAACUGGUGUUUCUACUUAUCUACAAUGACUGUGCUAAUUAGGCCUCUCAUAAAUUUCUCUGACAUACUUCACUCUACAACCUCGAGCCUUUACCUCAUGUGUUCCCCUGGGAUCUAGAAUGGUGCUGGAAAACCACUGAGAUGGGAGCCUCUUAGUCUGGACUCCCUGGAGGAAGAGUAAUUCACUUAAGGUUACGACACUCUUAUAUAAACAUAUUCAAACAUGAUUUUUUUUUUUUUGCCCUAACUGCAUAUUCAAGUCAAUCUGCUAGGGGUAAAAAAAUGUUGGCCUAGGCCGGGCGCGGUGGCUCACGCCUGUAAUCCCAGCACUUUGGGAGGCCGAGGCGGGCGGA